RNAcentral lists this ribosomal RNA (476 nucleotides) under bacterium 2611-S7-01-2. RNAcentral's name for it is "bacterial SSU rRNA". It matches the Rfam family "Bacterial small subunit ribosomal RNA", at positions 59 to 515 of the family's 1533-position model. The record is from RNAcentral.
CAGUCGAGCGGAACGAGUUAUCUGAACCUUCGGGGGACGAUAACGGCGUCGAGCGGCGGACGGGUGAGUAAUGCCUAGGAAAUUGCCCUGAUGUGGGGGAUAACCAUUGGAAACGAUGGCUAAUACCGCAUGAUGCCUACGGGCCAAAGAGGGGGACCUUCGGGCCUCUCGCGUCAGGAUAUGCCUAGGUGGGAUUAGCUAGUUGGUGAGGUAAGGGCUCACCAAGGCGACGAUCCCUAGCUGGUCUGAGAGGAUGAUCAGCCACACUGGAACUGAGACACGGUCCAGACUCCUACGGGAGGCAGCAGUGGGGAAUAUUGCACAAUGGGCGCAAGCCUGAUGCAGCCAUGCCGCGUGUGUGAAGAAGGCCUUCGGGUUGUAAAGCACUUUCAGUCGUGAGGAAGGUAGUGUAGUUAAUAGCUGCAUUAUUUGACGUUAGCGACAGAAGAAGCACCGGCUAACUCCGUGCCAGCAGC